Molecule: long non-coding RNA, 324 nt
Organism: Cyprinus carpio carpio
Lineage: Eukaryota; Metazoa; Chordata; Actinopteri; Cypriniformes; Cyprinidae
Source: Ensembl
CUGUGUGGUUGUCAAAGAGAUGCUAUGCGGUUUUCAAGGUGUUUCUAUGCUGUUGUCAGGGUGUUGCAAUGCUGUUGUCAAGGUGAUGCUGUGCAGUUGUCAGGGUGUUGCAAUGCUGUUGUCAAGGUAUUGCUGUGCGGUUGUCAGGGUGUUGCGAUUCUGUUGUCAGGGUGUUGCUAUCCGGUUGUCAAGGUGUUGCUGUGCGGUCAUUAGGGUGUUGCAAUGCUGUUGUCAAGGUGUUGCUGUGCGGUUUUGAGGGUGUUGCGAAGCUGUUGUCAAGGUGUUGCUGUGUGGUCAUCAGAGAGUGGCAAUGCUGUUGUCAAG